RNAcentral lists this ribosomal RNA (3300 nucleotides) under Triticum aestivum (bread wheat). Its description in RNAcentral is "partial small subunit ribosomal RNA". The record is from RNAcentral. Lineage: Eukaryota; Viridiplantae; Streptophyta; Magnoliopsida; Poales; Poaceae.
GGUGAUGUACCGCACGAUCACUAUUAUUAUCAGUUUUCUCUUAGCUGAGAUUUAUUAAAACUUCUUCUAUACUUCUUUUACAAUUGUCAUGAGUACUGACAAGACGAACUGGUAAAACAGGGCUGAUCAGCUCGAGUGGAUGUUGGGGUAAGUUUGUUCGUUGUCGUAGUGGAUGGUUUUAGAGAGAGAUGGAGAGAGGGACUUUAAAACACUCGAGAUCAUGUUAGAGGUCCAUGUAUGCUCUACGCGGCAGAGCAGCAGGACGAGGAAUGACAGAACGAGGGGGUACUUUUGUCGACGAGGCGGCGGCGUCGAAGGCCGCCGCCAUAGGUCACGUCGGCGGCCACGCCGUCGUGGUGGCAGGGAAUGGGAAAACCGAAGAGGGGGCCGACGGGGUAGGGCGACAGGACGCUGCGGUCGUAUAGGUGCGGCUAGGAGCCAGCGUCGCCGUGCUGGUAGGUGAGAAAGUUGAGGUGGUGGAGCUGGUAGCAGCAGAGGGAGGGCGGUAGCACGUGAGCGUCGCAGGGGCUGCGGUUCUUCCGCGAGAGGCCGCGGUUGAUGCCGCAGAGCAGGGUGUGGCCAGACAAGGAGGCGCCGCCGACGGCGCUCUAGUUGCGCAGCCCGCGGCUUACGUCGCACGGGCGCUCGCAGUACAGGUCCGAAGAGGCGUGUCGCGUCACACAGCCGUUGCUGUGGAGGCACUGCACGAAACGGAGAAGAGGCUACUUGUCGUGCCGCCACCGCCGCGGGCGCGGGCGCGGCCGUGGCCGGAACUUCAGGCGAAUAGGGUUGGUCAAGAACUCGACCCUCUUUCACCUCCGGAAAGCCACGCCGCUGCGCGACUGCCGCCGCGACAUACCCCUGUGCCUGUGCCAUGACAGCGACCUCAAGCCGCACCGCCUCGACCCGACCACCCAGUUACCCUGCACGCGGCCGUCGCCGCUCGAAACGCGCCGCUUGCGCUGAACGUGGCUGCAUCUGUGCGGCUCGCCCUUCUUUCCUGUGGCCACGCGUACGGUCCGCCCCUACUUGCCGCUACCGAAGAACCGGCCGCUGCCUACGGUGAUGGAUCGAUUCGCCCCAAAGUUCUUCUUGCACCGAAAGUAGCGACGUCCACACCACCACCCGCACCGCCGCCGCCGGCCGCACGAGGACGACGAUACGACCCGUGCUGCGGCCGCGAGACAGCCGUUCCCCGCCGUCCCGAGUUCGGCCGAGCGCCGCUACGCCGACGACAGCCUCCGCCGCUGCAGCUCGCCGCACGGCCACAUGAGCAUGUUGCUCCACCGCGCGCGCUGGUUGAGGAAGAGGCUGUGCGUGGCGGAGCCGUGCCCGCGGAUGCCGUGCCAGAUGCAGCCGGCCGAGGGCCGCUUGAGCUGCCGCGAGCACCGGUAGUUCGCGGAGGCCACGGCGGAGCUGCUGGUGCUGCUGCCGCCGCCGUCCCGCCACCGCGACGAGGAGUUGCUCUAGUCCGAGUAGAGGAGCGAGUCGGUGGGGUUGGACCAGGCGGAGGAGCCGACGACGGAGCUGGCGCCGCUCGUCUAGGAGCAGAUGCUCGAGCACGGGUUGCCGUGGGAGAGGGUGGUGGAGGUGCCGUUGCCGCUGCCGCUGAGGUGCGACGGCACCGCGCGCGCCGAGCCGCAGCGCCGCCCGUGCCGCCGGCGGUAGCGCAUGGACGUGCGGCGCGCGGGCGGGUAGAAGGUGGCGCUGCAGUUCAGGCCGUUGUAGGAGGAGCCGCGACUGGAGGCGCGGUUCGAGCGGCUGAAGCCGGAGAGGGCGCGGCGGGCCCCGCGGCUCCUGCGCAGCGCGAGCGUGCAGAGGUGGCGCGGCGUCCCGUGCGGCCCCAUGCAGCUGGGCCUCAUGGUGGUCUCGAAGGUGGAGAGGCUGUUCUCGCUGCAGAUGUCGAAGCCGCAGCACGACGAGCUCGAGUAGUGGCGGUACUUCCAGCAGCUGAAGCGGGCCGGCCGGUUGCUCCAGUUGGACCGUACGGAGCGCGAGCUGGCCUAGCCGUUCCCCUCUCAGCUCCUCUAGCAGCUGGGCCGCGAGGAGGCGGUGCCGCUCCUCACCCAGUACCUCAGCCAGGCCGUGCAGUCGCUCGAGCGGAAGGUCACGGACCGCAAGCUGUUCCUGCAGGCCGGCAGGUACUCGCUCCACCGGCGGCUCGACACGGCCUAGUCCCUGCGGCGGGGUCUGAGGCCGUACUGCCUGGAGCAGCGGCUGCACCCUGAGUUACCUGGUCUGUGGUGGUGCCGUUUCUUUCGGGCCAGCGGCCACAGCCACGUCCUCCAAACCCAGUCGCUGGCCUCGAGCGUUAGCUGGUUGCCGAGGUACGGUGCGAAAGGUAUCGGUUCAAUAUAGGGUGCACGUGGGUUGUAUCUACUUUUACAUUGAAUUUUUGUUAAAAACCCCCACUUCAAAAGGUACCACUUCUAACAACAUGGACAUGUCAGCGUGUGUACAUAAUGGUCGUGUUCUUGUUGAGUGUCCAAGCUUCCCCUUUGUCGUGGUAUCUUUAGUCGUUGAAUCCAAACUGGUUGCGCUGUUCUAACGGUGUUCUCGUGUUUGAAACCAAACUAGUAGUAGCGUUGUUCUAGUCGUGUUCUCGUGUCUGUCUCAACAAGGGUAGGCUUGGUAUAAGCGGCGUCGUAACCUUUAUGGGUCGUUAUGAAAAUGUUCACUUAGUAUAAGCGGCGUCGUAACCCUUAUGGGUUGUCAAAAUGUUCGAUGUCUUAGCGUGUUGAAUAGGCCUGAAGCAAAGGAGGUGGUUGGCGCGGCCCGGUGUAUCUCGAAUAGGUGUGAAAACAACAAGGAUAUUUACGACUUGGGUACCUCUCGCUUUCUCCGUGUGAUCGAUCGGGUCUUGUCGUGUGACGUGAACGGUUGUCCCCGAGUCGCUAAGUAGACUUCUUCUUCUUCUUAUGUCCUACACGAUGUUCCACCUCACGCUGUUUACGCCGUUCUAGUGGACCUUCCCCACGCCGUUCGUACAGCGCAGGCAGAUGCUUCUGUAGCUCUUUCCUUUCGUGACGUGGACGUUCCGCACCGGCCCACAACUGUGCCUUCCCAGCAGGAGCUUGUGGUUUCUUCCACCUCCUUUUCGAACUCAAGAACGUGUUCCUAGUGAUCAAAACGUUGAUGACCUGACUUCCUCUGACGUCAAAACUUAUUUUCGAACGGAGACGAUAGACGAGACAUAAACAAAGACCGAAGAAGCGACUUCAGUGAAAACUACCAUAUUAUUUUGUAAGACGUCAACUAACUAACAGAAUAGAUCGAUUUCUACGUUUAGUCCCGAUCCAA